Molecule: long non-coding RNA, 590 nt
Organism: Larimichthys crocea (large yellow croaker)
Lineage: Eukaryota; Metazoa; Chordata; Actinopteri; Sciaenidae
Exons: 2
Source: RefSeq, a predicted model, not a curated record
AAACACUGUUUUGCCAUUUUGAAAUGGACCACAGGAGGACCUGGAGGGGAAACACAUCAACCGCAUGGGAGAAAUGAGCAGCAGAGAAAAUCAAAAUAUAACUACUUUGUUUUUUGUGGACAGUAUGUUUUCUGCAAGUGGAAGCUGAAGCCCAGCGUGACUGCAGCCAUGAGGAGACCAAGCAGCAACAUGAAGUGGAAUAAAACAGAGGAGCUGGAGGCUCGAAACAUCCUCUGCUCUGCCACACAGCACCGCAUGACUACAAACUGAAGACAGUGUUAGACAGAAAGAGAGAGAGACAUGGACACUGGUUGGGAAAAGCUCACUAAUUUACACAUUUUUUUCUAGCUUGUUUAAUCCGUACAAAACCAAAUUUUAGACACAACUGUUAUGCUUUCAUACUUCUGUAUUUUUCCAAAUGAGUAAUUUCUCUGUUUCUAAAGACCUCUGUUAGAUUGGUUUUGUUUUAUUUAUUGAAGUAAUAUUACUACACUGUAUGUAGUAUACUGUUAAAUUAAUUUAUCAUAAUUAAAACAUUAAGAGACACAAAGAGGGAGAGACAGCUCAUGCACAAUAAAUGAUCGAUAACU